AGAGCUUGUGCAGGAAAUCCUUGCGCCGGUCCGCGAUGCGGGCCUGAAUACGGGCCACCUUCAACAUGGCCCUGCGGUGAUUGUUGCUCCCUUUCCGUUUGCGCGCCAGAUCGCGUUGCGCUUUCCUCAACCGUUGCGCGUCCCGUUUGCGGAAUCGGGGGUUGGCUGUCUUUUCCCCGUUCGAGGUGAUGGCGAAGUCCGUCAACCCCAUGUCGAUGCCGACCUGCGUACCGGCCUUGGGCAAUGGUUUGACGUGUUCCUCGACGAGGAUGCUCACAUGCCAGCGUCCGGCCGCGUCCAAUAUGACGGUCACACUCGACGGCUUGGCGCUGCGCGGCAGCGUGCGGCUCCACUUGAUAUUCAAGGGUUCGCCCAUCUUGGCGAGCUUGAGGUCGCGGCCGUCCCAUGUGAACGCGGUGCGCAUGAACGACGCGGAACCGCCAUGGGACUUCUUCUUGAAUUCCGGGUAGUCGCCACGCUGGUUGAAGAAGUUGGAGAACGCCGCCUGCAAAUGUCUUACGGACCGUUGCAAUGCAACGGAGGACACGUCGUUGAGGAACGACAGUUCCUCG
This 572-nucleotide non-coding RNA is filed under the name Bifidobacterium gallicum. The record is from RNAcentral. Lineage: Bacteria; Bacillati; Actinomycetota; Actinomycetes; Bifidobacteriales; Bifidobacteriaceae.